This 75-nucleotide microRNA precursor is filed under the name Myotis davidii. RNAcentral's name for it is "mir-9193 microRNA precursor family". It matches the Rfam family "mir-9193 microRNA precursor family". Lineage: Eukaryota; Metazoa; Chordata; Mammalia; Chiroptera; Vespertilionidae. The record is from Rfam by way of RNAcentral.
CAGGGGAAGGGGGGGCCCCCUCAGCCCGGAUUGCAAGAUGGCACAGGCCAGGCUGAGGGACCCCACUGGUGCACA